CCUACGGGUGGCAGCAGUGGGGAAUAUUGCACAAUGGGGGAAACCCUGAUGCAGCGACGCCGCGUGAGUGAAGAAGUAUUUCGGUACGUAAAGCUCUAUCAGCAGGGAAGAAAAUGACGGUACCUGACUAAGAAGCCCCGGCUAACUACGUGCCAGCAGCCGCGGUAAUACGUAGGGGGCAAGCGUUAUCCGGAUUUACUGGGUGUAAAGGGAGCGUAGACGGCAGCGCAAGUCUGGAGUGAAAUCCCAUGGCUUAACCAUGGAACUGCAUUUGAAACUGUAGUUCUUGAGUACUGGAGAGGCAGACGGAAUUCCUAGUGUAGCGGUGAAAUGCGUAGAUAUUAGGAGGAACACCAGUGGCGAAGGCGGUCUGCUGGACAGCAACUGACGCUGAGGCGCGAAAGCGUGGGGAGCAAACAGGAUUAGAUACCCGGGUAGUC
RNAcentral lists this ribosomal RNA (440 nucleotides) under uncultured bacterium. Its description in RNAcentral is "partial 16S ribosomal RNA". It matches the Rfam family "Bacterial small subunit ribosomal RNA", at positions 338 to 795 of the family's 1533-position model. The record is from RNAcentral.